Molecule: ribosomal RNA, 197 nt
Filed under: uncultured bacterium
Lineage: Bacteria
Description: partial 16S ribosomal RNA
Rfam family: Bacterial small subunit ribosomal RNA
Source: RNAcentral
ACUCCUACGGGAGGCAGCAGUGGGAAAUUUUGGACAAUGGGCGAAAGCCUGAUCCAGCCAUUCCGCGUGAGUGAAGAAGGCCUUCGGGUUGUAAAGCUCUUUCGGCAGGAACGAAAUGGUUACGGUUAAUAACCGUGACUUCUGAUGGUACCUGAAGAAGAAGCACCGGCUAACUACGUGCCAGCAGCCGCGGUAAU